Molecule: ribosomal RNA, 164 nt
Filed under: Zingiber gramineum
Lineage: Eukaryota; Viridiplantae; Streptophyta; Magnoliopsida; Zingiberales; Zingiberaceae
Description: 5.8S ribosomal RNA
Rfam family: 5.8S ribosomal RNA
About the family: 5.8S ribosomal RNA (5.8S rRNA) is a component of the large subunit of the eukaryotic ribosome. It is transcribed by RNA polymerase I as part of the 45S precursor that also contains 18S and 28S rRNA. Functionally, it is thought that 5.8S rRNA may be involved in ribosome translocation.
Source: RNAcentral
CAAACGACUCUCGGCAAUGGAUAUCUCGGCUCUUGCAUCGAUGAAGAACGUAGUGAAAUGCGAUACUUGGUGUGAAUUGCAGAAUCUCGUGAACCAUUGAGUCUUUGAACGCAAGUUGUGCCCGAGGCUUUCUGGCUGAGGGCACGCCUGCUUGGGUGUCAUGG